Molecule: unclassified non-coding RNA, 568 nt
Filed under: Hevea brasiliensis (rubber tree)
Lineage: Eukaryota; Viridiplantae; Streptophyta; Magnoliopsida; Malpighiales; Euphorbiaceae
Source: RNAcentral
GCUCCGGCAUCUGUGGAAGAACCUCCUCCUGAAAAACCAUCUAAGAAACCUGUGACAAAAUCUACAGAAAAGAAAGGCAAAACUGCAAAGGAAGAGCCUCAGCCUCUAGAUCCUGUUGCUGAGAAACUUCGCCAACAAAGGUUAGUAGAAGAAGCUGAUUACAAAUCUACUACGGAACUGUUCGCUAAGAGAGGCGAUGAGAAGACACUAGAUAACUUCAUUCCCAAAUCUGAGAGUGACUUCUUGGAAUAUGCAGAACUUAUUUCACAUAAGCUUCGUCCAUAUGAGAAAAGUUUCCAUUAUAUUGGUUUACUCAAGGCAGUAAUGAGAUUGUCAAUGACUUCUUUAAAAGCAGCAGAUGCAAAAGAUGUUGCAUCUUCUGUAACUGCAAUUGCAAAUGAAAAGCUGAAGGCAGAGAAAGAAGCCAAUACUAAAAAGAAGACAGGUGGGAAGAAGAAACAGCUCCAUGUUGAUAAACCAGAUGAUGAUUUGGUGAUUGAUGCCUAUGAUGCUGUUGAUGACUAUGAUUUUAUGUGAUCUAUUUUGGAGAUAUUUUUGCUUUAGGUUU